CACGAGAGAGCUAAAUUCGUCAAGGUGGCAGCUGACGAUAAACUACGCAUCAACGGCUCUCCUUUCGCUUUGACCAAAACGCUCUCGAAAUUUUAGCUGGAUAAUGCAGUAAUCAUCUUUUGCAAUUCCGACGGAUCGACCCACGGUGCCUCUUCGAUGUAUCCAAUGCAGAGAGAUAAAACACUUUCACGUUCCUAGCUGCUGCAUUUCUGCGCCACUAGAUAAUCCUGGCAUAGUGGCAUUGGCAUUUGCAUUUUCAUUGACGUCCUGCAGUUAACUCCUGAUGGCCGCAAACCUUAUAAAACAACAGUACCCUAAACCACGGUUGGAUUUUGAAGUCGGUGGCGGCGGCAACGCUACUGAGAACGCGGAAACAGAGAAGCGGAAGGAAGACAACCCGACUUCCGGCGAUGGUAGUUCGGCGGCUUUAGUUUUGCCGAGGGAGGAAGCCAUGCGGCUCGCCAUCUACAUUGCCAUGGCGCAUGGCGGGCUAGCCCUAUCGUUUGCCCUGAUAUGCGGUCUAGCCUGGCUGCUGAAGGAUUACCGGCGGCCAAUUCAGUGGGCAUUGCUCUGCUCGAUGCCCCUCCGCGAGCUCCAUACCGCACUCGUCUCCUUCUGGUCUCACCCGCUCCGCCUCGGGCUCCCUGAGACCCUUCUCGCCGUCCCCCUUGUCGUACUUCGCUCCGUCGCCAGCUCCCUUAUCGACUCCCACACUGCUCUUCACCGCCUCCUCCGCCGCCAGAGUCAGCCGCGCCAACCACUCCCUCACCUUGGUUUCUCAAAGCUCAUGCGAUGGCUCGUUUCCUUCGCAUUCUUCGUCCUCCUCCACGAGCGCUUGGGCCCCCUCGCGUUCCCCGUCUUCGUCCUUCCUGGCUUCCUCGCUUUCGCCCGCACUCGCCCUCCCCCUCUUUCCGCCACCCUCUCGGCCAUCUCUUUCGCCCGCCGCAACCGCCGCAGCCGCAAGCACUCCUCCGAACCCCCGUCGCAUGUCCUCAGCCGCUUCCUCACCUUCCGCAUCCUUCGUAGCCUCAACACCCUUAUCGCUGUCAGCCUUAUACUUGCUAUGAUCUCCGUCUUCCUUUUUGGCUCCGUCCUCUUCUCCUACAAGAUCGCCAUCGAGGGUCGCGACGCCGUCGUCGCCCUCAAGACCCACUUCCAAGAGCACAAUUACACGGAAAGGAUCGGCCUUCAGCGCUGGAUGGACGAUCACGAUGUACCCGAGCUAAUCGAGUCCGGCGCUUCCAAGCUAUACGAUACCGUCGUCCACUACGUUGAUUCUCUUGCCCUCCAUUACAAUGCCACCGAGCUCGCCGACGGAUUGAAGCAGUACCUCAUUAAGCCCUUGGAAAAAUCCUCCAAUUCCUCAUCUUUCAUCACAAAGAAGUGUUCCCUCCACCCUUUCUCUAUUAAACUCCGCAACCUUGUACACCACAUCCGUAACCAGGAGUGGCGGCAAACUUAUGCAGAUUCCGAUUAUAUGGUAAAGGAAUUCCUAUCUGUGAUUGCCAGAGAAGACUUGGUAGAAAAGAUCAAAGGUUUUGCUCUUCAGAGCAUAGAUAUGUCCAAACAGGUCUUGGCUAGCAGCACCAUGGUUUUGUCUGGGAGUGCCAAUUUGCUCUUCUCCAUUUCUCUUUCCAUAGUCUCUGGUGCUGCUGGGUUGUUGAAUUUCGUGUCACAAGUCUUCAUUUUCUUCUGGCUCCUCUACUCCUUAAUCACUUCUGAAUCAGGUGUCAUGGAUCAUGCUCUUGGCAUGCUUCCCAUAUCCAAGUCUAAAAGAGUUCGUUGUGCAGUGGUGCUUGAUCAUGCUCUCAGUAGUGUGAUGUUGGCUGCUGUGAAAGUUGCUCUUUUUCAGGGGUGCUUCACAUAUCUCUUGUUUCGAUUCUACCAUAUACAUUUUCUUUAUGUAUCUACUUUCAUUGCCUGGACAAGUGCAAUACUGCCAAUUACGCCAUUCUGGUUUUCUUCUGUUCCAGCUGCUGUUCAGUUGGCUGUGGAGGCUAGGUAUGUUGAAGCUGUGGCGCUUACAUCCAUACAUCUCAUUAUCUUAGAUUAUGGGACGCUUGCAAUCCAAGAUGAAAUACCAGGGCAAAAUGCUUAUUUGACAGGGCUUAGCAUUCUUGGUGGAAUGGCAUUGUUCCCAUCAAUUUUGGAGCCUGUUUCUUUGCAAAAUUCCUUUGUUGGUGGAGAUUUUCACUUUUUAACUUGCCGAGGCGGAGUAGAUUCUUCAUUGCUAUUGGAUAACAGGUCUCGUCUAUUGCUAGAGUUGAGGUUAAUUCUCUCAAACUGUGACGUUGCCUUCAUAUAACCGAGUUUGAGGAUCCCUUUGGAAUUUCUAUCGUUGAGUGGCUUACGAAUUUGCUUCAAUACUUAUGAAAUCAUCAUGGGAGCAAUCAUGGGACCUUUGUUGUUGACGGUCAUGAUUGCUGUGAAAAAUCUUUAUGCAGAAUUUGUUCUUGGAUCUUCGAAGGAAAGCAGUAGUUGACUUUCUCAAGGUGGUAUAUGAUGCUGGUAAUAGAAGUGGCCUGUUUUUUCGUUUUUCUUCUUGGUGUAGAUAUGUUUGAUAAUUUUUAAUCUUUGAUGUAGUUGACAUUUUAUCUUCAACUUCGUUGCUUUAGUAGUUUAAGACUUCGUUUGGGAUAGCUUUUUUCUGCUUUUUAAAGUAGUUUUUUAGUACAAAAAUUUUAAUUUUUAUACUAGAAAACUGCUUUAUUAAGCAGUAAGAAAGUCGUCCCAAAUGAAGCUUAAAUUUUUAGAUAUGUCUACAGUAGACCAACAUGCUGAUAGCACUAUCGUAUUUUAAUUGAAUAAUUGAAUUUUUUGCUC
RNA transcript from Dendrobium catenatum, 2823 nucleotides. RefSeq lists it as uncharacterized. The record is from RefSeq and is a predicted model, not a curated record. Lineage: Eukaryota; Viridiplantae; Streptophyta; Magnoliopsida; Asparagales; Orchidaceae. The transcript is spliced from 3 exons.